This is a non-coding RNA of Pelobates cultripes (western spadefoot toad), 990 nucleotides long. The record is from the annotation of a GenBank genome assembly. NCBI's taxonomy places the organism in Eukaryota, Metazoa, Chordata, Amphibia, Anura, Pelobatidae.
AGUACCCUCUCGAGCUAUAUACCUAAAAUACAUACAUGGCUUAGGUAUAUAGAUGAUAUCUUUAUUGUAUGGCUGGGUGAUGAAGAAGAUUUCAAUAAGUUUGUCUCUCUACUGAAUAUAAACGAAGAUAAUUUAAGAUUUACAGCAGAAUUUGGAGGACAUACAUUGAAUUUUCUAGACAUAACCAUUUCCAUCAACAGGAAUGGAUCUUUGAAAACAACUCUUUUUAAGAAGCCAACAGCAUCCAAUGCAUUCCUUAGUUGGGAUAGCUUCCAUCCUAGGCCUCUUAAACAAGGCAUUCCUGUAGGACAAUAUCUGAGGGUACGUAGGAAUUGUACAGACCUAUCAGACUUUAAGGUAAAAGCAGCUUUACUGAGACAACAAUUUCGGGAAAAAGGUUACCCGAAUAAAUGCCUCAAGAAAGCGUACAAAAGAGCCAUAGAAUUAAACAGAGAUGACCUUAUUCUAGACCAAUCUAAGCAAAAAUCGUUGAAUAAGACUAUCCGUAUGAUUGGAACCUUCGAUACAGGAUGGAAUACAGUGAAAAGGUCGAUUGAGAAAUUCUGGCCCAUCCUUUUAAAGGAUGUCCAUCUUAAAGACGUCCUUACCCCUAGGGCAACUAUUACAGCACGCAGGGGGAGAAAUCUUCGUGAUAUGUUGGUACCAAGCCACUUUUCAGUGAAACAGAAGAAAACGAGUUGGCUGGGUCGAAAUCCCCCCUGUGGUUCCUAUGGAUGCGGAAGAUGCGUCGCAUGCAAGUACAUUCUUCGGGACUCGAAGAAAGUCCAAGAUAGUGCUGGACAACAGAGUUUUGGGAUCACCCAGUUCUUUAACUGCAACACUGCUGGUUUAGUAUACCUCCUUACCUGUAGUUGCAAAAUGAUGUAUGUAGGAAAAACGUUUAGACCCUUUAAGGAACGGAUCAAAGAACAUGUAAGAUCCCAAAAAAACCGCAUGGAAACCCCAAUUUCAAGACAUCUAAAAAACUGC